Molecule: ribosomal RNA, 460 nt
Filed under: uncultured bacterium
Lineage: Bacteria
Description: partial 16S ribosomal RNA
Rfam family: Bacterial small subunit ribosomal RNA
Source: RNAcentral
CCUACGGGGGGCAGCAGUGAGGAAUAUUGGUCAAUGGACGAGAGUCUGAACCAGCCAAGUAGCGUGAAGGAUGACUGCCCUAUGGGUUGUAAACUUCUUUUAUAUGGGAAUAAAAUGUUCCACGUGUGGGAUUUUGUAUGUACCAUAUGAAUAAGGAUCGGCUAACUCCGUGCCAGCAGCCGCGGUAAUACGGAGGAUCCGAGCGUUAUCCGGAUUUAUUGGGUUUAAAGGGAGCGUAGGUGGAUUGUUAAGUCAGUUGUGAAAGUUUGCGGCUCAACCGUAAAAUUGCAGUUGAAACUGGCAGUCUUGAGUACAGUAGAGGUGGGCGGAAUUCGUGGUGUAGCGGUGAAAUGCUUAGAUAUCACGAAGAACUCCGAUUGCGAAGGCAGUUCACUGGACUGCAACUGACACUGAGGCUCGAAAGUGUGGGUAUCAAACAGGAUUAGAGACCCUUGUAGUC